UNAUUCGACGCAACGCGCAGAACCUUACCAACCCUUGACAUACUUGUCGCGGAUUCCAGAGAUGGAUUCCUUCAGUUCGGCUGGACAAUGUACAGGUGCUGCAUGGCUGUCGUCAGCUCGUGUCGUGAGAUGUUCGGUUAAGUCCGGCAACGAGCGCAACCCACGUCCUUAGUUACCAGCAUUUAGUUGGGUACCCUAAGGAGACUGCCGGUGAUAAGCCGGAGGAAGGUGUGGACGACGUCAAGUCAUCAUGGCCCUUACGGGUUGGGCUACACACGUGCUACAAUGGCACCUACAGUGAGUUAAUCUCCAAAAGAUGUCUCAGUUCGGAUUGGGGUCUGCAACUCGACCCCAUGAAGUUGGAAUCGCUAGUAAUCGCGGAACAGCAUGCCGCGGUGAAUACGUUCCCGGGCCUUGUACACACCGCCCGUCACACCAUGGGAAUUGGGUCUACCCGAANGUGGUGCGCCAACUAUU
RNAcentral lists this ribosomal RNA (477 nucleotides) under uncultured bacterium. Its description in RNAcentral is "bacterial SSU rRNA". It matches the Rfam family "Bacterial small subunit ribosomal RNA", at positions 947 to 1443 of the family's 1533-position model. The record is from RNAcentral.